RNAcentral lists this ribosomal RNA (323 nucleotides) under uncultured eukaryote. RNAcentral's name for it is "partial 18S ribosomal RNA". It matches the Rfam family "Eukaryotic small subunit ribosomal RNA", at positions 1470 to 1796 of the family's 1831-position model. The record is from RNAcentral.
CCCUUAGAUGUUCUGGGCUGCACGCGCGCGACAAUGACGUUUGCAACGAGAUACGAGACCGAAAGGUUAAGUUGAUCUAGCAAGCUGCGUCGUGAUAGGGACUGUCGAUUGCAAUUAUUCGACACGAACGAGGAAUUCCUUGUAAUCGCACAUCAUCAGUGUGCGCUGAAUACGUCCCUGCCCUUUGUACACACCGCCCGUCGCUCCUACCGAUCGAGUGAUCCGGUGAAUGUUUUGGAUCGGUUGCAAGUUGCGCGACGCGCUUCUUGCAUGCUGUGAAAUCAUGUAAGCCUUAUUGCUUAGAGGAAGGAGAANUCGUANCA